GGCUAAGAUCAAGUGUAGUAUCUGUU
This 26-nucleotide non-coding RNA is filed under the name Xenopus tropicalis (tropical clawed frog). The record is from RNAcentral. Lineage: Eukaryota; Metazoa; Chordata; Amphibia; Anura; Pipidae. RNAcentral also lists the same sequence under 6 other names.